CUUUCCACAGACUUUUCAGGAAAACCGGAUCCCAGGCUGACCUGCUAGCGCCACCUCUGAUAUGAGUAGUUAUUAUUGAAAGAGACAGGAGCAAUUCAGGUGCGCUCCUUCAUCCACGAAUCUUCCAGGCCCCAUAGUAAACCCAUGGGAGGGAUGAGGAACGACACUCCUUUCUACAGAUCGUCGGCUUGGAAAAAAAAUUGACAUGAUGGUGAGAAGAAAGCAGAUAUAAAAUCACGUGCUCACAUGAUCUGACUCUUCAGAUGGGAGCCUGCAUCUGUCAACAACAACAAAAUGCCAGCGAGACUUCCACUGUUUUCCUAUGUUCACUGAACUUCCAGUGAAACAUCUGCUUUGUGAGGUUGGGGAACUUGCCGAAUGCACCUACACCUUCAGCUUCCACCCAGGGUGACUACGACCAGAAUUAUCAAAGUCAUUAUUUUCCCAAGCUGUAAGAUCGCAGGGAUGAAGCAGGGGAGAUGGCUCAGCCCAGAAAAUGCUUGCUGCCAAGACUGAUGACCUAAGUUUAAU
Long non-coding RNA from Mus musculus (house mouse), 531 nucleotides. RefSeq annotates it as predicted gene, 46520. The record is from RefSeq and is a predicted model, not a curated record. Lineage: Eukaryota; Metazoa; Chordata; Mammalia; Rodentia; Muridae. The transcript is spliced from 4 exons.